AGUUUAAAGAAGUUAUUUUAAAUGAAUCCUGCCCAGUGUAAAUUAUAAAUGGCCGCAGUACCCUGACUGUGCAAAGGUAGCAUAAUCAAUUGGCUUUUAAUUAAAGUCUGGAAUGAAUGGAAAUCUGGAAAAAUUCUGUCUCAAAAAUAUUAAGUUGAAUUUAUUAAUUAGGUGAAAAUACCUAUAUAGUAGAAAAAAGACGAGAAGACCCUUAGAGUUUUUAUAAUAUUUAAUAUACUUAUUAAAUUUGUUUUUGUUGGGGCGACAAUUAAACAUAUAAACUUUAAUUAAUUUCAUAACGAAAUUGUUAUAAAAGAAUAAAUUACCUUAGGGAUAACAGCAUAAUUUUUAAAAGUUUGUGACCUCGAUGUUGGACUAGGAACUUAAUGGCAAGCAGUCAAAAUAGAUUUGUUCUGUUCGAACAAUAUAAUCCU
RNAcentral lists this ribosomal RNA (434 nucleotides) under Amerianna sp. 3 PGA-2020. RNAcentral describes it as "partial large subunit ribosomal RNA". The record is from RNAcentral. Lineage: Eukaryota; Metazoa; Mollusca; Gastropoda; Planorbidae.